This 93-nucleotide transfer RNA is filed under the name Candidatus Lloydbacteria bacterium. RNAcentral describes it as "tRNA-His". Lineage: Bacteria; Candidatus Lloydiibacteriota. The record is from RNAcentral.
GGGGUAAAGAUAUAGUCCAUGCCGGAAGGAAACUUUCGGAUUUGUGAAAUCUGUUGCCUUCGGGCUUCGAAGGUUCGAAUCCUUCCCCACCCA